CCUCGGGGUGAUCACCCCUCCGUCAGAUGCUUUCUAACUGAUGCCAGUUGUGUUCCAGCAGGACCAGGCGCACCAGGAAACAGACUGGAGAGGGAGGGCCUUCCCUUCUCAGCGCUUGGUGGGGAUGGAGGCAGCGACCUGUACUGCAGGACCUGCAGGCAGUUCUUCAGCUCCCUGCACAACAAGAAGGAGCACCUGCUGGGGAAACAGCACCUGCAGAACCUGACAGGGAAAUUCGAAAAAGAUUCCACUGAGUACUUAAAGCAUCUGGAACCUCGGGUGAAGGAGGAAUGUUGGAAUUUGCACAAAGGGAACUUGGAGGAGGACGCCGAGUGCCCUGAUCCACUUCCACUAGGAGGCCUGUUUCCAGAGGAGCGUUUUUCUUCACUCGACUUGUGUUUCUUGCAAGAGUUUAUCUUUAAACUUCUGAAAAUCAAGGAAUUCGAGCUCCAGGAGCUGAGGAAGACUCUAGAAAGAGCCCGAGUGGAACAGGAGGACUUGCAGAGGCAGCUGGUAAAGUUCCAGAGCCAGCAGCAGAGGCUGGAGGCGGAGCUGGCGGGCCUGAAGACCUACCGCAUCAUCCUGGAGAAGGAGUUUGAGAACCUGAACAUGGUGCUGAUGCUGUCCCGCUUCGGCUGCAGGUGAUGGACACGGGUGAGCCCCUGUCUCAGGCAGCCCCUCCCCACUCCCCUGGCCCCACGCACCCCGUGUGUGUUCUCCGCCCCAGGCCCAGUGCAUAGUAGGACUCCAGGAGUA
This 756-nucleotide long non-coding RNA is filed under the name Ailuropoda melanoleuca (giant panda). RNAcentral's name for it is "lncRNA (ENSAMEG00000027791.1)". The record is from RNAcentral. Lineage: Eukaryota; Metazoa; Chordata; Mammalia; Carnivora; Ursidae.